Molecule: unclassified non-coding RNA, 1753 nt
Filed under: Haliotis rubra (blacklip abalone)
Lineage: Eukaryota; Metazoa; Mollusca; Gastropoda; Lepetellida; Haliotidae
Description: phosphatidylethanolamine N-methyltransferase-like, transcript variant X5
Source: RNAcentral
GAUUAGUGCGUCGGCGUUUGCCAUUUGUACGCUAUCAGCAGACGAUGGACUGUUGCGAAGAUGUUGAUAAACCAACGGUCCAAUGACGGUGUUGGCAGUUUAUCAUGAAUUAUCACAUGAAUCAGAGGCAAACUAAGGGAUGUUGUGAAGAUACCAUGUUGGAUUUAAGCAAGAUGGCGAUUCCUGACUUGGCCAUUACAUGGACAGACUUUAACGUUUGGUUUGGACUCGCUGCAUUGUGGUUAACUCCUUUCACCUGGAAUGUUGUUGCAAGACUUGAAUACAGAACACAGUUCCUGACAAAGCUGUUUGGGAACCCCCGACUUGCAUGUACAGCCCUGGCCCUGUGUAUUAUCUCCGCCACUCUCUACAAGAGUUACAGGUUCAAGAUGGCAAUGGACAGUCAGCCUCGCUGCAUUCUGCUCCAAGAGAACUGGAUCCUGUGGCUGGGAUACUUCCUCAUCUACCUGGGUGUGCUGCUGGUUGUCAGUAGUUUCUUAGCUUUAGGAUUCUUUGGUACCUACUUGGGUGAUUAUUUUGGAAUACUCAUGGAUGAGAAAGUAACGAGCUUCCCUUUCAACCUGGUCGGCAAUCCUAUGUAUGUUGGAAGCACAAUCAACUACCUGGGCAUGGCUCUCAUUCGAGCUAGCAGUGCCGGACUGUUUCUGACAGCAGCAGUAGGACUGGCCUACUAUGUAGCAAUUUUAUUUGAGGAACCCUUCACGGAAGAAAUUUACAGGAACAGGAAGAAACAGUCAUAAUCUAAGAUGUCAUGUGUACAGAAGAUCCGUUCCUAUGCAACAUCUUGGUUUUACAUUAUUUUUACACAAUAUUUGUAUUGUAGUUCCAGGCUCGAAUGCAUAUUAGUGGUGCAUUCUCGGAUCCAUGUGUCCCGUUUAGGGAUGGCUGAGGGGCUGUUUUCACUAAUGGGAUAGUAUCUGAUGCAGUUGCAAUAGUAUUGUGAAGUUAUGCAACUAAAAGCAAUAGUAUUGCAACGUAUGCAAUUAUUGCAAUAGUAUUGCGAAGGUAUACACCCACUGCAAUAGUAUUGCAAAGGUAUACAACCACUGCAAUAGUAUUGCAAAGGUAUGCAACUAUAAGCAAUGGUAUAGUGAAGAUAUGCAAUUAUUGCAAUAGUAUUGCAAAGGUAUGCAACCACUGCAAUAGUAUUGCAAAGGUAUGCAACUAUAAGCAAUAGUAUAGUGAAGAUAUGCAAUUAUUGCAAUAGUAUUGCGAAGGUAUACAACCACUGCAAUAGUAUUGCAAAGGUAUGCAACUAUAAGCAAUAGUAUAGUGAAGAUAUGCAAUUAUUGCAAUAGUAUUGCAAAGGUAUGCAACUUUUGCGAUACUAAAACAAUAGUUAUAAACUAAGUUUAAGGCUUGAUGAUUAUCAAAUGAAUGAACCAUAAAGGACAGUGUCAAAGUCGUUUGAUCGGCAUUCUAUAAUUUAGUGAGUCAAUAAUGAAGCAUACGACUUUAUGGAUGACAACUUGUUUAUUGCAAAGAGUCCCGUUACGGUGUAGGUUCUUACACUGUUAUCAAGCUAAAAGUGUUAUCACUGAAAUGUAUCUCUAUCCAAUAAACAAGAAGUUAUUAUCCAUAAAGUCGUGUGCUAAUGGCUGGUUGGAAAUUCAACUGGCUUAUUCUGUGGGUUUGUUUAUGACUAUAGUGCGUUUGGCUCAAAAGCAGACCGAUGUAUUGCAAUCUAACUCGAAAACUUAUAAACAUAAAAUACUCAAUGAAACACUGAUCA